UACGUUCCCGGGCUUGUACACACCGCCCGUCACACCACGAAAGUCGGCAACACCCGAAGCCGGUGGCCUAACCGCAAGGAAGGAGCCGUCGAAGGUGGGGUCGGUGAUUGGGGUG
RNAcentral lists this ribosomal RNA (115 nucleotides) under uncultured bacterium. RNAcentral describes it as "partial 16S ribosomal RNA". It matches the Rfam family "Bacterial small subunit ribosomal RNA", at positions 1367 to 1482 of the family's 1533-position model. The record is from RNAcentral.